Molecule: non-coding RNA, 177 nt
Organism: Chelonoidis abingdonii (Abingdon island giant tortoise)
Lineage: Eukaryota; Metazoa; Chordata; Testudines; Testudinidae
Source: RefSeq, a predicted model, not a curated record
GCAGGAGAACUAUGAGACAGUGACCUCGCUAGGAUUCCCCAUUCCCAAACCUGACCUGAUCGACCAGCUGGAAAGAGAGGAAGAGCCGUGGGUCCCAGAUCUCCAAGCCACCGAGGAAAGAGAGAGCCCAAGAAGCACUCGCGCAGGCAGUGACUCCUGUCUGGCUUCUCUCUCUCC